Macaca fascicularis (crab-eating macaque) is the source of this 148-nucleotide unclassified non-coding RNA. It matches the Rfam family "Metazoan signal recognition particle RNA". From Rfam's summary of the family: The signal recognition particle (SRP) is a universally conserved ribonucleoprotein. It is involved in the co-translational targeting of proteins to membranes. The eukaryotic SRP consists of a 300-nucleotide 7S RNA and six proteins: SRPs 72, 68, 54, 19, 14, and 9. NCBI's taxonomy places the organism in Eukaryota, Metazoa, Chordata, Mammalia, Primates, Cercopithecidae. The record is from Ensembl.
GCUGGGUGUGGUGGCGCGCACCUGUAGUCCCAGCUACUCAGGAGGCUGAGGCAGGAGAAUCGCUUGAACCCGGGAGGCAGAGGUUGCGGUGAGCCAAGACAGCACCAUCGCACUCCAGCCUGGGUGACAGAGCAAGACCCUGUCUUAA